GAAUCUUGGACAAUGGGCGAAAGCCUGAUCCAGCAAUGCCGCGUGCAGGAUGAAGGCCUUCGGGUUGUAAACUGCUUUUGUACGGAACGAAAAGCUUUGGGUUAAUACCCUGGAGUCAUGACGGUACCCAAAGAAUAAGCACCGGCUAACUUCGUGCCCGCCGCCGCGGUAAUACGAAGGGUGCAAGCGUUAAUCGGAAUUACUGGGCGUAAAGCGCGCGUAGGUGGUUUGUUAAGUUGGAAGUGAAAGCCCCGGGCUCAACCUGGGAACUGCUUUCAAAACUGGCAAGCUAGAGUAUGGCAGAGGGUGGUGGAAUUCCGCGUGUAGCAGUGAAAUGCGUAGAUAUGCGGAGGAACACCGAUGGCGAAGGCAACCCCCUGGGCCUGUACUGACGCUCAUGCACGAAAGCGUGGGGGGCAAACAGG
RNAcentral lists this ribosomal RNA (425 nucleotides) under uncultured bacterium. RNAcentral describes it as "bacterial SSU rRNA". It matches the Rfam family "Bacterial small subunit ribosomal RNA", at positions 359 to 776 of the family's 1533-position model. The record is from RNAcentral.